This 497-nucleotide ribosomal RNA is filed under the name uncultured bacterium. Its description in RNAcentral is "partial 16S ribosomal RNA". It matches the Rfam family "Bacterial small subunit ribosomal RNA", at positions 28 to 507 of the family's 1533-position model. The record is from RNAcentral.
GAUGAACGCUCGCGGCGUGCCUAAUACAUGCAAGUCGAGCGAACAGACGAGGAGCUUGCUCCUCUGACGUUAGCGGCGGACGGGUGAGUACCACGUGGCUAACCUACCUAUAAGACUGGGAUAACUUCGGGAAACCGGAGCUAUUACCGGAUAAUAUAUUGAACCGCAUGGUUCAAUAGUGAAAGCCGGUUUUGCUGUCACUUAUAGAUGGAUCCGCGCCGCAUUAGCUAGUUGGUAAGGUAACGGCUUACCAAGGCAACGAUGCGUAGCCGACCUGAGAGGGUGAUCGGCCACACUGGAACUGAGACACGGUCCAGACUCCUACGGGAGGCAGCAGUAGGGAAUCUUCCGCAAUGGGCGAAAGCUUGACGGAGCAACGCCGCAUGAGUGAUGAAGGUCUUCGGAUCGUAAAACUCUGUUAUUAGGGAAGAACAAAUGUGUAAGUAACUAUGCACGUCUUGACGGUACCUAAUCAGAAGGCCAGGGCUAACUACGUG